Molecule: ribosomal RNA, 497 nt
Filed under: uncultured bacterium
Lineage: Bacteria
Description: partial 16S ribosomal RNA
Rfam family: Bacterial small subunit ribosomal RNA
Source: RNAcentral
GAUGAACGCUGGCGGCGUGCCUAAUACAUGCAAGUCGAGCGAACGGACGAGAAGCUUGCUUCUCUGAUGUUAGCGGCGGACGGGUGAGUAACACGUGGAUAACCUACCUAUAAGACUGGGAUAACUUCGGGAAACCGGAGCUAAUACCGGAUGAUAUUUUGAACCGCAUGGUUCAAAAGUGAAAGACGGUCUUGCUGUCACUUAUAGAUGGAUCCGCGCUGCAUUAGCUAGUUGGCAAGGUAACGGCUUACCAAGGCAACGAUGCAUAGCCGGCCUGAGAGGGUGAUCGGCCACACUGGAACUGAGACACGGUCCAGACUCCUACGGGAGGCAGCAGUAGGGAAUCUUCCGCAAUGGGCGAAAGCCUGACGGAGCAACGCCGCGUGAGUGAUGAAGGUCUUCGGAUCGUAAAACUCUGUUAUUAGGGAAGAACAUAUGUGUAAGUAACUGUGCACAUCUUGACGGUACCUAAUCAGAAAGCCACGGCUAACUACGUG